GAAUAGAUAAAUUUUUUAUGUUUUUCAUAUUUUAUUAUAAAUUUAUUUUACAUGUAAAUUUUAGUAUAAAAUUUUAAUUAUUUAAAAAAUAAUUAAUUUUUAUUAACAGUAAUUAAAAUUAAAAAUUUAAGAAAUUAAGAUUUAGUAAUAUUUAAAUUAAUAACUAAUUUUGUGCCAGCAGUUGCGGUUAAACAAAAGUUAAAUUAAAAUAUUUCAGUAUAUAAUAAAUAUUAAAUAUUAAAUUAAAUAUUAAAUUAUUAAGUGAAAUUUUAAUUUAAUUAAAAUUUAUUUAAAAAUUAUGAAUUAAUAAAUUUUAUUAUAAACUAGGAUUAGAUACCCUAUUAUUAAAAAAUUAAUAAAAAAUACUAAAAUAGUAAAUAAAAUAUUAUUGAAACUUAAAUAAUAUGGCGGUAUUUUAGUUCAUUUAGAGGAAUCUGUCUAGUAAUUGAUAAUCCACGAAUAAAUUUACUUAAUUUAUAAUUUUGUAUAUCAUUGUUAUAAAAAUAUUUUUAAAUAAAAAUAAUAUUUUAAAAUUUAAAAUAAAAUUUAAUUCAGAUCAAGAUGCAGAUUAUAAUUAAGUUAAAGAUGGAUUACAAUAAAAUUAUUUAAAUGAAUAGAAUAUUGUAAAAUUAAUUGAAGGUGGAUUUAAAUGUAAUUUUAAUUAGUUUUUUAAAAUGAUUAAAAAUUGAAAUAUGUACAUAUUGCCCGUCACUUUCAUUUAAAAAUUGAAAUAAGUCGUAACAAAGUAGAGGUACUGGAAAGUGUUUCUAGAAUGAA
Molecule: non-coding RNA, 777 nt
Filed under: Athyma kanwa
Lineage: Eukaryota; Metazoa; Arthropoda; Insecta; Lepidoptera; Nymphalidae
Source: RNAcentral